UACGUAGGGACCAGGCGUUGUUCGGAUUUACUGGGCGUAAAGGGCGCGUAGGCGGCGUGUUAAGUCAGCUGUGAAAUCUCCAAGCUUAACUUGGAACGGUCAGCUGAUACUGAUGUGCUAGAGUACAGAAGGGGCAAUCGGAAUUCUUGGUGUAGCGGUGAAAUGCGUAGAUAUCAAGAGGAACACCUGAGGUGAAGACGGGUUGCUGGGCUGAUACUGACGCUGAGGCGCGAAAGCUAGGGUAGCAAACGGG
RNAcentral lists this ribosomal RNA (253 nucleotides) under uncultured bacterium. Its description in RNAcentral is "partial 16S ribosomal RNA". It matches the Rfam family "Bacterial small subunit ribosomal RNA", at positions 524 to 776 of the family's 1533-position model. The record is from RNAcentral.